RNAcentral lists this unclassified non-coding RNA (276 nucleotides) under Salinispora mooreana. RNAcentral describes it as "partial 16S-23S ribosomal RNA intergenic spacer". The record is from RNAcentral. Lineage: Bacteria; Bacillati; Actinomycetota; Actinomycetes; Micromonosporales; Micromonosporaceae.
CCAUCCGUCGAAGGGCGGUAUGGAGCCUCGGUUGCCUGUGUUGGGUGAUGGGGUGCUCAUUGGUCGGAGACACUGGCUAGUUGGUCUUGGCAGCGGUUUGAUGCUCUUGUACACGCUCCUCUUGUGGGGGUGGGGGAAGGGGUUGAUGAUGCGGCUGGGGUUGGCGGUGAACACCCUGUUGGGUCCUGAAGGAAUGACCGUGUGGUUGUUUCUUGGGCCGUUGUUUCUGUGAUGUCACUGUUGUGGUGGUGUUGCGGGGAUGGUGGUUUUGCCUGG